RNAcentral lists this ribosomal RNA (484 nucleotides) under uncultured bacterium. RNAcentral describes it as "bacterial SSU rRNA". It matches the Rfam family "Bacterial small subunit ribosomal RNA", at positions 28 to 509 of the family's 1533-position model. The record is from RNAcentral.
GAUGAACGCUAGCGGCAGGCUUAAUACAUGCAAGUCGAACGGGAUUUAGGAGCUUGCUUCUAAUGAGAGUGGCGCACGGGUGAGUAACACGUACACAAUCUACCUUGUACAGGGGGAUAGCCUUGGGAAACUGAGAAUAAUACCCCAUAGUUUUAAUUUAUCGCAUGAUAGAUUAAAUAAAGCUGAGGCGGUACAAGAUGAGUGUGCGGAUGAUUAGGUAGUUGGAGAGGUAACGGCUCCCCAAGCCGACGAUCAAUAACUGGUCUGAGAGGAUGAUCAGUCACACGGGAACUGAGACACGGUCCCGACUCCUACGGGAGGCAGCAGUAGGGAAUAUUGGGCAAUGGAGGCAACUCUGACCCAGCCACGCCGCGUGGAGGAUGAAGGUGCUAUGCAUCGUAAACUUCUUUUGUCAAGGGAGAAAGUGCUUGAUUUAUCGAGUUUUGACGGUACUUGGCGAAUAAGCAUCGGCUAACUACGUGCC